Molecule: long non-coding RNA, 4030 nt
Filed under: Homo sapiens (human)
Lineage: Eukaryota; Metazoa; Chordata; Mammalia; Primates; Hominidae
Description: non-protein coding DLGAP4-AS1:8
Source: RNAcentral
GCUGCAUGGCCUACCCAUAGCGGCGGUGGGAGCCUCCGCCGGGGAGAGCCCGCUCGGGGGCAGGAAGUGGCCCGGCCCUCCUCGUGGAGGGCGUUUCCGGAGCGCCUACUGUGCUCCUUGCCGGGGUGGGGGUCGUUACCGAGUGGGAACUUCUGCAAAUCCUGACUUUUGUCACUUCGCGCCCCGCACAAGAUGUCCUGCCGGCGGUGCGAUUGGUCCCGUUGCUUCGAGGGGAAACUGAGGCCACUUAGUCCGGGCACUUACCCGCAGCUAGUUAAGGACUAGGCUCUGAUGGAGACGCUUGUUACGACCUCAAUGGCCUGUAGAAUCUGGGAGGCCGCCUCCGACCUAAGCCCAAAAAGCACAUGAUCGGGCUCACAGGGGGCGGCCAGAGGUGAAAACAGCCAACGCUUUACAACGACGCUGUGCGGGGCACUUCGUGUGUGUCAUCCCGUCUCAUCCUCGGGUGAUAGGAACUGUUCAUUCGGGAAAAUUGCAAACAACUAAAUACCCCUCACCAGGAGCUGGCCCAUUAUAGCAACUCUGAGACCUCUCUACCGCAGGCUCUUAAAAUGGGACACCGCCGCCCGCCCCUCGGGCACCGGACACAGGCGCGGCUGAGGACUGACGGCCCCCUGGAAGCCACUCGGGAGUCCUAGAUUUUGCUGAAGGAAGAAGGGGCUGGAGAAAAUAAAAGGGCAGGAGUCUGGAGUGUGAUAACUGUGGCUUCGUCUCAUUUCCACCCGCCAAGACUAAAACUUCCCUCAUCUGCUCAGCGAGCCUGGUCUGGGCCUCCGGGACAUAAAUCUCGAUGCUGUCUGCGCUCUCGGUGGCUGAGUUCUGCCGCACAGAAGCUGCCCGCUUGGCCGCCAGGAGUCUCUUGCGGGCCUCCUGGCGCUGCUUGUCGCUGGCGUCUGAGGCCUUGUCGCGGCUCACUGCCGGCUUGGAUUUGGCUGGCUUCUUUGGGACCGGAGGGGGUGGUUUCUUCUCUUCCUUUAGUGAGACAGUGAGGAGAGAACAAAAAUAAAAUAAAGGUGCCACGUUUUGUGUGGCACUACCCCCACCAUAUGCCGGCAGCUGGAGUCUCCACCCCAGCCUCCCCGCAUCGGGCACAAGCAACACACACUUGGAAUCAGGAAGCCACGAGAAGCGAUGACUGACAGUGGGAAGAGCUCAAGGCACUGGAGCAGAAAGCAAGCCUAGACUCCGAGAGCGCUCGAGCAGCGGGGACGGGCAGAUCCCAUUGUCCACCCUCAUGUUGAAUCACCGGGAGCCCGAGACUCGGGCAGGAACUAGCCCGAGUCACAGUCAGAGACAAAUUUAGGGCUUCAGGUCCCAUUUUACAGGCUAUUCUAGGGGAUUAGACAGGGCCACGGUUCAACAGGGGUCACUGGUUCUGGUUUGCAGAAGGAAGCCUCAGGGAAGAGGCUGGCUACCACAAGGUCACAGAGCUGGCUCCAGACCCCAGGACUCCUGGCAGCAGGGCCCCAGGAGAAGGGACCAUUUUUGCUGCCUCCUCUGUUAUAACGUGAUUGAGGCUGUGGGCGUGCCUCUCCCAGGAUCCCCUUUUCUGGACAUGCAGGGCAGGACACAUGCUUCAGGGGCAGCCUCAACUACACGGAGCAAGCGGCAUGCCAGACAAGUGCCAAGCAUGGACCCCACGCAGUGAUGGAUGUGAGACCCCAGCUCAAAGACGACACACGGAGAAGGGAGCCAAGCAGCACUGACCGAUGUGGGCAGCGUUAUUGCCGACCAGGAAUUUGUCCCUGGACUUCCCCUCCGCACUGCUCCAUGCUCACCUUCCUCUUCUCGGGGGUCUCCACCAGCUGCCAGCUGUUGGCCUUGAGGUGGUAGAGUUCAUCGAACUUCAUGCUGAUAUCCUCGAUGGACAGCUGUAGCAGGUCCCAGAACCCUGCCAGGUCCUGGGCUGUGGGGCGUGGGUUGGCAUCAGGGUUCUGUGGGCCAGAUGGGGAUCAGUGGGGCCAGCUCAGCAGAGGCUUGUCCUGCUCCCCCCAACCCCCCAACAAGCAGGGUUCCUCUGGGCCCUGCCAGCACCCGCGGGGGCUCUUGAGGCCUAGUGUCUGGGGAAGAAACAGAAGUUCUUGGCCAUGGUGUGACAGUGACACCGAGAGAAGCCCGAUUCACUCCCAGUGAUUCUGUCCAAGGUAAGUACUCCAGAGAAGUUCUCCCACCUCAUGGCAGAGAGACAUGCACCAGAGUGUUGAUGAAACGCUGAAAACACCAAAAUGGCCCCAGUGCAGUGGCUCACGCCUAUAAUCCCAGCACUUUGGGAGGCCAAGGCAGGCGGAUCACCUGAGGUCGGGAGUUCAAGACCAGCCUGACCAAUAUGGAGAAACCUCAUCUCUACUAAAAAUACAAAAAAUUAGCUGGGCGUGGUGGCACAUGCCUGUAAUCCCAGCUACUUGGGAGGCUGAGGCAGGAGAAUUGCUUGAACCCGGGAGGUGGAGGUUGCGGUGAGCCGAGAUCGCGCCAUUGCACUCCAGACUAGCUUAACAGUGGAUGUAACUGCUUCUUUGCUGUGGCAGAUUGUAUUUUCUGAAGGCCCCAACAGUCUCUCCUGUCCCUCCUCCUCUUCUGAAACCUUGAUACUUCCCUAUGAAGAGGUAGGGUCUAAUACUUCCCUCCUUCAACCUGAAGCCCCGCCUUGGGCUUGUGACUUGCUUGUAACCAGUCAAAUACAGUGGAAGAGUUACUACGUGACUUCCAGGGCUAGGUCAGAAAAGGAUGCAGCCUCAGGGUUCAACACACACUUGGGCCUGGAGCCACCAUGCAAGAAGGCUGCCAUGCUGCGAGGGAGCAAAGGCACGUGGAGGGACAUACACAGGGGCUGUGGCUGGCAGUCCUGGCCUUUGAGUCAUCCUUGUUUAAGUGCCAGGCACACACGUUAACUACCUUUAGGUAAUUCCAUACCUCAGGUGUCAUGUCACCCCAAGCCCUUGAGCCUUCCCAUCUGAAGCCCCAGGCUGUAUGGAGAAGAAACAAGAUGUUCCUGCCACGCUCUUUCUGAACUGCUGACAUACAGAAUCUGUGACCAUAAUAAAAUGGUUGUUUUGUGCCAUUAGGUUUGGCGUGACUUGUUAUGCCCUUCCUGCUUCUGUGUCUUUGCUCCCUCCAUCUGGAAUGCCUUUCCUCUCCCCCAGCCUGUAGAUAUUCUCUGAGGCCCAGCUACGAAUGGUAUCUCCUUGGUGGAGUUCCUCACAGAUUUAAGAGGGGUGACCUUAAAACUUGUGGCCACGGCUGGGUGUGGUGGCUCACACCUGUAAUCCCAGCAUUUUGGGAGGGCGAGGUGGGCAGAUCACUUGAGGUCAGGAGUUCAAGACCAGCCUGGCCAACAUGGUGAAACCCUGUCUCUACUAAAAAUACAAAAAUUAGCUGGACGUGGUGGCAUGUGCCUGUAAUCCCAGCUACUCAGGAGGCUGAGGCACGAGAAUCACUUGCACCCAGGAGGCGGAGGUUGUGGUGAGCCGAAAUUGUACCACUGCACUCCAGCCUGGGCAACAGAGUGCGACUCUGUCUCACAAAAACAAAACAAAACAAAACAAAAAAAAAACAACUUUUGUGCCCACAAGUCAGGGCCUUGAGUGGAUGUACAGAAUUUAAUCAGAGAGCCUUGCAAUUUCAAUGAAGAGUAUCAUUCUUAAGAGACAGGAAACAUUAUUCACAACGGCCAAAAGGUAGAUGCAAUCCACCUAUCCAUUGGCAAAUGAAUAGAUACAUAAAAUGUAGUCUCUACAUACAAUAGAAUAUUACUCAGCCUUAACAAGGGAGGGAAUUGUGACACAUGCUAUGGAUGAACCUUGAAGACAUUAUGCAAAGUGAAAUACGCCAGUCACAGAAGAACAAAUGCUGCAUGGUUCCACUUACAUGAAGUAGCUAGAAUAGUCAAACUCAUAGAGACAAAGUAGAGUGGUGGCUGCCAGUGGCUGGGGGUAGGAGGGAAUGGGGAGUUAGUGUUUAAUGGGUACAGAAUUUCAGCUGGGGAAGACAAAACAAGUUCUAGAGAUGGACG